GUGUGUGUAAUUUAAAAAAAAUAUCAAGCCGUGACCUUGACAACAGGAUUACCCUCAUACACC
RNAcentral lists this transfer RNA (63 nucleotides) under Euprepiophis perlaceus (Szechwan rat snake). RNAcentral describes it as "Euprepiophis perlacea (Szechwan rat snake) tRNA-His". The record is from RNAcentral. Lineage: Eukaryota; Metazoa; Chordata; Lepidosauria; Squamata; Colubridae.